RNAcentral lists this transfer RNA (35 nucleotides) under Paspalum notatum. RNAcentral describes it as "partial tRNA-His". The record is from RNAcentral. Lineage: Eukaryota; Viridiplantae; Streptophyta; Magnoliopsida; Poales; Poaceae.
GAUGUAGCCAAGUGGAUCAAGGCAGUGGAUUGUGA